RNAcentral lists this ribosomal RNA (1346 nucleotides) under uncultured bacterium. RNAcentral describes it as "partial 16S ribosomal RNA". It matches the Rfam family "Bacterial small subunit ribosomal RNA", at positions 28 to 1381 of the family's 1533-position model. The record is from RNAcentral.
GACGAACGCUGGCGGCGUGCUUAACACAUGCAAGUCGAACGGAAAGGCCCUGCUUUUGUGGGGUGCUCGAGUGACGAACGGGUGAGUAACACGUGAGUAACCUGCCCUUGACUUUGGGAUAACUUCAGGAAACUGGGGCUAAUACCGGAUAGGAGCUCCUGCUGCAUGGUGGGGGUUGGAAAGUUUCGGCGGUUGGGGAUGGACUCGCGGCUUAUCAGCUUGUUGGUGGGGUAGUGGCUUACCAAGGCUUUGACGGGUAGCCGGCCUGAGAGGGUGACCGGCCACAUUGGGACUGAGAUACGGCCCAGACUCCUACGGGAGGCAGCAGUGGGGAAUAUUGCACAAUGGGCGGAAGCCUGAUGCAGCAACGCCGCGUGCGGGAUGACGGCCUUCGGGUUGUAAACCGCUUUCGCCUGUGACGAAGCGUGAGUGACGGUAAUGGGUAAAGAAGCACCGGCUAACUACGUGCCGGCAGCCGCGGUGAUACGUAGGGUGCGAGCGUUGUCCGGAUUUAUUGGGCGUAAAGGGCUCGUAGGUGGUUGAUCGCGUCGGAAGUGUAAUCUUGGGGCUUAACCCUGGGCGUGCUUUCGAUACGGGUUGACUUGAGGAGGGUAGGGGAGAAUGGAAUUCCUGGUGGAGCGGUGGAAUGCGCAGAUAUCAGGAGGAACACCAGUGGCGAAGGCGGUUCUCUGGGCCUUUCCUGACGCUGAGGAGCGAAAGCGUGGGGAGCGAACAGGCUUAGAUACCCUGGUAGUCCACGCUGUAAACGGUGGGUACUAGGUGUGGGGUCCAUUCCACGGGUUCCGUGCCGUAGCUAACGCUUUAAGUACCCCGCCUGGGGAGUACGGCCGCAAGGCUAAAACUCAAAGGAAUUGACGGGGCCCCGCACAAGCGGCGGAGCAUGCGGAUUAAUUCGAUGCAACGCGUAGAACCUUACCUGGGUUUGACAUGGAUCGGGAGUGCUCAGAGAUGGGUGUGCCUCUUUUGGGGUCGGUUCACAGGUGGUGCAUGGCUGUCGUCAGCUCGUGUCGUGAGAUGUUGGGUUAAGUCCCGCAACGAGCGCAACCCUUGUUCACUGUUGCCAGCACGUUAUGGUGGGGACUCAGUGGAGACCGCCGGGGUCAACUCGGAGGAAGGUGGGGAUGACGUCAAGUCAUCAUGCCCCUUAUGUCCAGGGCUUCACGCAUGCUACAAUGGCUGGUACAGAGAGUGGCGAGCCUGUGAGGGUGAGCGAAUCUCGGAAAGCCGGUCUCAGUUCGGAUUGGGGUCUGCAACUCGACCUCAUGAAGUCGGAGUCGCUAGUAAUCGCAGAUCAGCAACGCUGCGGUGAAUACGUUCCCGGGGCU